UGGGAAUUUUGGACAAUGGGCGAAAGCCUGAUCCAGCAAUGCCGCGUGUGUGAAGAAGGCCUUCGGGUUGUAAAGCACUUUUGUCCGGAAAGAAAUCCUUGGCUCUAAUACAGUCGGGGGAUGACGGUACCGGAAGAAUAAGCACCGGCUAACUACGUGCCAGCAGCCGCGGUAAUACGUAGGGUGCAAGCGUUAAUCGGAAUUACUGGGCGUAAAGCGUGCGCAGGCGGUUUGCUAAGACCGAUGUGAAAUCCCCGGGCUCAACCUGGGAACUGCAUUGGUGACUGGCAGGCUAGAGUAUGGCAGAGGGGGGUAGAAUUCCACGUGUAGCAGUGAAAUGCGUAGAGAUGUGGAGGAAUACCGAUGGCGAAGGCAGCCCCCUGGGCCAAUACUGACGCUCAUGCACGAAAGCGUGGGGGAGCAAAACAGGAUUAGAUACCCUGGUAGUCCACGCCCUAAACGAUGUCAACUAGUUGUUGGGGAUUCAUUUCCUUAGUAACGUAGCUAACGCGUGAAGUUGACCGCCUGGGGAGUACGGUCGCAAGAUUAAAACUCAAAGGAAUUGACGGGGUCAUAGCUGUUUCCU
Molecule: ribosomal RNA, 586 nt
Filed under: uncultured bacterium
Lineage: Bacteria
Description: partial 16S ribosomal RNA
Rfam family: Bacterial small subunit ribosomal RNA
Source: RNAcentral